This 22-nucleotide microRNA is filed under the name Homo sapiens (human). Its description in RNAcentral is "hsa-miR-3928-3p". Lineage: Eukaryota; Metazoa; Chordata; Mammalia; Primates; Hominidae. The record is from miRBase by way of RNAcentral.
GGAGGAACCUUGGAGCUUCGGC